CAUAAAAUGAUUCUGCUUUUCAUUAAAAAUAGGGAGGGAUGAGAGAAUUUAGAAAGGAUGGGAGGAAAAAAGGUUAUUAAUUAAUUAAAAAAGGUUAAUCAUAAUUAAUAAUUAAAGCUAAGAAAAUGUAAACUAUAUAAAGGAUUUUUUCCCUCCCAUAUAUUAAAACUUCUGAAGUCAUUAGAAGUGAAAUAACCCCAGACAAGAUGUAUGUAUGUAUAGGCAGCUGGAAGGUCCAGAAUAUUAAUAAUAUUAUUAAGGCUUGUCUGGAACAUAAAUUGCAUCCUUCAUAGCACAGGAGUUGGGAAUUUGGGAAUCAGAUUUUCAGUGGAAAAUUUUCUUCUUUCACUGCCAACUUUUCACUGCAGACUUUUGACUGAUCAAGUUAGUGCCAGCAGAAAAACCACUCUGCAUGGGUGUCUCUUACUUUGCAAGUGUGUCACAGCGAGAGCACAGCAGCUUGUCCAGUAUAUUCUCUGUGAGUAAACUAAAAAUGACACCUGGGUGACCCAGGCAGAAGACCUGCACUCAAAACCUCUGACUUACUGUCUGUGGAUGAACUCUCCAUAACUGAAGGAUGCUUUCUGGAUGACUACAGCUGGAGUGGUAGGAGAUUUUGGGUUACUACAUUAUAAUAAUUCUAACUGCUGCUGCUAUGUACUUUGAAUGUUCUUGAAUUCCAGUGCAUGCAAGGAUUCUUCCAGAUGAUAUUGAUGUGGGUGAGUGAGGGUGGAGAAUAACCCAGAAAUCAUAUUAGUUAUGAUGGAUUUCUUGCUCUGAAAAAGCUUUAAAUCUCUGAGAUACCUUUUAUAUAUAGACAGUCUUAAAAGUAAUCUCUACUAUUUGAAUAAUGCGGUGUGUUAUAGGUGAUAGAACAUAAAAAUUAAAUCUUAACAUUAAAGUUAAAUCUUCAGUGAUACACAUCAGAAAUACUAGCUAAUGUGAGCCACAUUAAACUCCAUUAUUCUUGGUCUCAUUUUAAAAGAAAGAGGGAAAACUAGACUUUUUGUUUCUGGAUUUUUCCUAAUAGUUCUAGGUAAUUGUAUACUAUUGAGGAACUUAAACAUACCUGAAUUUUUGUCCGGCUGUGUUUGGCUCAUCUUUCAGUCUGUAUUCUCCAGAAGCAGUUGCUUUCAAUAUAUCAGAUUUUAUUUUGGCAGAUACAGUGUUACAGUUUGU
RNAcentral lists this long non-coding RNA (1179 nucleotides) under Parus major (Great Tit). Its description in RNAcentral is "lncRNA (ENSPMJG00000018472.1)". Lineage: Eukaryota; Metazoa; Chordata; Aves; Passeriformes; Paridae. The record is from RNAcentral.